GAUGAAGAACGCAGCGAAAUGCGAUAAGUAAUGCGAAUUGCAGAAUUUCCGUGAGUCAUCGAAUCUUUGAACGCACAUUGCGCCCACUGGUAUUCCGGUGGGCAUGCCUGUUCGAGCGUCAUUACAACCCUCAAGCUCUGCUUGGUGUUGGGCCCCGCCGCCCCGGCGGGCCCUAAAGUCAGUGGCGGUGCCGUCCGGCUCCGAGCGUAGUAAUUUUUCUCGCUUUGGAGGCCCGGGCGCGUGCUUGCCAUCAACCCCCAAUUUUUUUCAGGUUGACCUCGGAUCAGGUAGGGAUACCCGCUGAACUUAAGCAUAUCAAUAAGCGGAGGA
Molecule: unclassified non-coding RNA, 330 nt
Filed under: soil metagenome
Description: partial contains 5.8S ribosomal RNA, internal transcribed spacer 2, and large subunit ribosomal RNA
Rfam family: 5.8S ribosomal RNA (bases 1-121)
Source: RNAcentral